Molecule: ribosomal RNA, 774 nt
Filed under: uncultured Neocallimastigales
Lineage: Eukaryota; Fungi; Neocallimastigomycota; Neocallimastigomycetes; Neocallimastigales
Description: partial large subunit ribosomal RNA
Rfam family: Eukaryotic large subunit ribosomal RNA
Source: RNAcentral
CGCAUCUGUGCAUGCAGCAUAUCAAUAAGCGGAGGAAAAGAAACUAACAAGGAUUCCCUUAGUAACGGCGAGUGAAGCGGGAAGAGCUCAAAUUUGAAAUCUUAAAGGGUUUCCCUUUACGAAUUGUAGUUUAAAGAAGUGUUUUCUGUUGAGGUUUUGGUAAAAGUUCUUUGGAAUAGGACAUCAUAGAGGGUGAGAAUCCCGUAUUUGACCAUUACUUUCAACUGUGUGAUACACUUUCAAAGAGUCGGAUUGUUUGGGAAUGCAGUCCAAAAUGGGUGGUAAAUUUCAUCUAAAGCUAAAUAUUGGCGAGAGACCGAUAGCGAACAAGUACCGUGAGGGAAAGAUGAAAAGAACUUUGAAAAGAGAGUUAAACAGUACGUGAAAUUGUCAAAAGGGAAGCGUUUGACACCAGUGUUGUUUUUCUGAAAAUCAAUUAAAGAACUGUUUAUGCUAAGUUGUUUAGACUUUAUCAGCUAUCUGCUUAGUUUUGAGCUUUUCUUUAAUGCACUUUUCAGUUAACAAGUCAACAUCAAUUUCUUUUGCUGUAAAAAAGCUUGAGGAAGGUGGCUUGAGAUUCGUCUUAAGUGUUUAUAGCCUCUUGCCUAUGCAGUCGGAGAGAUUGAGGUCUGCAGCGUAGAUCCUUCGGGGCUAAAUGCAUUUGUGCUAAGUUAUAGCAUUUUAUAGACAACUUGUUGACUAUGAUUUGUCUUGUAGCUUACUCGCUUAUGUUAUUUUACCUACGCUUAGGAUGUUGACGAGACUGUCGAUCUC